AUUCUAAUCCCUACCAACUAGUGGAUGGACAAACUCAAGCCAAUCGAUUGAUCCUCCUCUUUGGCCGAUGCCUCCCAUUUAAUAGUAGAAACUCUUGUUGGUCCUUUGACUUUAGCAUUCAAGGAGGGAUCGGGCACUGGAAAGCAGACAACCAUCCCACGAACAAGCCCAAGGAUUAAUAAAGAUUUUUGUCUAAAUAUGUCAAGUCAGAAUACAUCACUACCAUCUCAGUCGCCACCCACAUGCCUAUUGAGCCCAUGUUAUGUCGUCCCCUUUAUCGGUUGCACGUCAGAUGAAAGACGAUUUUCCAAUUGAUAUAAUAUGUACGGCUUAUCAUCAUUAAUCUCCCUAUGAAUGGAGGUAAGAAAGAGACCUCCAGGUACACCCCACUUGUACUCAAUACACCUUAUGCUCUUUUGCAACUCCUUCUCUAUUGUGCUAGAUUCCUGACGUGACCGUCGGAGAGUCCUUGCUGGAGACAACUUCAGUCGGAACUUGUUUUGUAGGAACAUUGCUCCGAUGGUCCCUGGCUUAUUCCAGCCCUGUCUGUACA
This 553-nucleotide long non-coding RNA is filed under the name Elaeis guineensis (African oil palm). Its description in RNAcentral is "long non-coding RNA (EGUI_LNC016926)". Lineage: Eukaryota; Viridiplantae; Streptophyta; Magnoliopsida; Arecales; Arecaceae. The record is from RNAcentral.